UGAGGGACAUGAAUCAUUCAAUGACUAAAACUAUCCUGAUAACGUUAAAAUGCAGAAUAUCACGUUCGUUAUCUAGACAUUCUAUACUAAACAGAACUUCGUCCGAAGUUUCUGUAGUCAAAAGUGAGAUGGAAAUUUUCUUGAUUAAAGAAAGAUGAAAAUAUCUGUUUGAACCAUGGACUAUCCUACUAUCCAUAUCUUUCAUUUACUGCUGAAAUUUCAAAUAAAAUAUUUGCGCAGUGAUAUUAUUAUACAAUUUCCAUAAGAUUUUAAUUUAUCUCUAUAACUAUCAUCUUAAUAGAUGAAAAUGAUGCACAUUUUAGCAAAGAUUUACAUAAUGUUAUUUCUUUCAUCAAAUGAUUAAACCAUGAAAUUCUAAAAAGGAACCACUACAUUCGAAUUAUAGUUUUGAAAUUCUAUUUGUGUAAUUAUCUGCAGUAAACUUUUCAAAACAAUGUUAAUUCUCCCUAAAAUCUUCAGUUCACCGUUUGGCUAGUGAAGAGUUAAAAAAUCAAGUGGAAAAAUACUGUAAUAUCUUCUCUAAUUUACAAAAAACAACACCUCGUAAAAAACUAAAAUUAAUUUUAGGGUUUGAACUAGGCUAAAAAUGUGACAGUUUCGAAUUCCUAAUCAAAUAUUUAAAAUUAUUUUGACAUGUUAAUUGCUUAUAAAAAUUAUUGAACAAGAGACUAAGGGGAUUCACUCAAAACCCAUUACCUCCAUUGAUUGGUAGAGGCUUGGUUAAGUUAUUCGUGUUUGAAAACAUAAAUGAACGUUAUACGCCACUGACAUGAACGGAAAUAAAUUCGUAGAAAUCAAUUGCGAUAAUCCUAUUGCAGCAACCUUGAAUGGUGAAACCAUCGCUUAAGUAGAUCGAAAGGAGAGACAGACUAGGAUUAUUUACUCCCCCAUAUGAAAUAGGAUUCAUAUUUCGUUGACAAAACAAAUAACUGCCACCAUUUUGUCUAUGAAACCUUAACAAUGCAACAGAAGGGUUGUCAGCAAGUAUUAAUCGUUGCUCUUUAGCACUUCUUUGUCUGAAAUUCUUCUCGAACAUGCAUAUCCUGAAUUCGACUGCUUGUAAAGUGGAAUAAAUUGAUAAUGCGUGUUA
Long non-coding RNA from Harmonia axyridis, 1111 nucleotides. RefSeq lists it as uncharacterized. Lineage: Eukaryota; Metazoa; Arthropoda; Insecta; Coleoptera; Coccinellidae. The transcript is spliced from 2 exons. The record is from RefSeq and is a predicted model, not a curated record.